Lupinus angustifolius (narrow-leaved blue lupine) is the source of this 119-nucleotide non-coding RNA. NCBI's taxonomy places the organism in Eukaryota, Viridiplantae, Streptophyta, Magnoliopsida, Fabales, Fabaceae. The record is from Rfam.
AGGUGCGAUUAUACCAGCACUAAUGCACUAGAUCCCUUCAGUACUCCGUUGUGAAGCGUGCUUGGGCGAGAGUAGUACUAGGAUGGGUGACCUCCUGGGAAGUCCUCAUGUUGCACCUC